UUAGAUUUCCACACAACCUCACUUCUAAUUUUCAGGAUUUGUAGCAAAUUAGUAGAGUUCAUUCCUUGCUUUACUGUGGUUACAUACAUUAUGGCUAGUUUAUUUAUCCUGAAUGGUGCUCUAAAAAUGUUGAAAGAAAUGAAAGUUUCUACAGUGGUUGAAGCUAUCAUUUCCAACCCUCCCCGGAUAUCAGUCUCACAGGCACUGCCGAGGCACCAUUUCAGCAUUUAUCUCCUUUGUUGUAAUUGGGUAUCCAAGAAUGUUUUUUUUUCAUUACAUAUCAUAAUCAUACAGUCGGGUAGAGAAAAGAAAUAAGAAACAUACGUUAAAUUGUUUUAGAAAGUGAAAAUAUUUAAACGUUUAAUUAGAACUUAUGUGUAUAUUAAAUUAUUUUUUGUGAAAAUAACUAAUAUUACCAAACACUGUUUACUUUUUACAGCAACAAGCAUUAGAACUAGCUUUGGAUCGUGCAGAGUAUGUCAUUGAAAGUGCCCGGCAGAAACCUCCUAAAAGGAAAUACUUAUCUAGUGGAAGAAAAUCUGUAUUUCAAAAACUUUAUGACUUGUAUAUUGAAGAAUGUGAAAAAGAACCUGAAGUUAAGGUAAAUAUAAAUUUUUUAUGUUAUUG
Molecule: long non-coding RNA, 627 nt
Organism: Tupaia belangeri chinensis (Chinese tree shrew)
Lineage: Eukaryota; Metazoa; Chordata; Mammalia; Scandentia; Tupaiidae
Exons: 3
Source: RefSeq, a predicted model, not a curated record